CGCAUUAUCCGCUGGGCGUCGAAGCGACCUGAUCGGCU
Molecule: small RNA, 38 nt
Filed under: Sinorhizobium meliloti 2011
Lineage: Bacteria; Pseudomonadati; Pseudomonadota; Alphaproteobacteria; Hyphomicrobiales; Rhizobiaceae
Description: putative ncRNA
Source: RNAcentral